Molecule: non-coding RNA, 88 nt
Filed under: Candidatus Kentrum sp. LFY
Lineage: Bacteria; Pseudomonadati; Pseudomonadota; Gammaproteobacteria
Source: RNAcentral
CUUUAUAGCGGGCCGUGCGGGCAACCUUCGGGUUGGCCGGUUUUCUCUUUUUGCCCGGUAUUCCUACCCCGUACAGUCCGCUCCCUUU